This 374-nucleotide ribosomal RNA is filed under the name Escherichia coli. RNAcentral describes it as "bacterial LSU rRNA". It matches the Rfam family "Bacterial large subunit ribosomal RNA", at positions 1211 to 1586 of the family's 2925-position model. Lineage: Bacteria; Pseudomonadati; Pseudomonadota; Gammaproteobacteria; Enterobacterales; Enterobacteriaceae. The record is from RNAcentral.
ACGCUUAUGCGUUGUUGGGUAGGGGAGCGUUCUGUAAGCCUGCGAAGGUGUGCUGUGAGGCAUGCUGGAGGUAUCAGAAGUGCGAAUGCUGACAUAAGUAACGAUAAAGCGGGUGAAAAGCCCGCUCGCCGGAAGACCAAGGGUUCCUGUCCAACGUUAAUCGGGGCAGGGUGAGUCGGCCCCUAAGGCGAGGCCGAAAGGCGUAGUCGAUGGGAAACAGGUUAAUAUUCCUGUACUUGGUGUUACUGCGAAGGGGGGACGGAGAAGGCUAUGUUGGCCGGGCGACGGUUGUCCCGGUUUAAGCGUGUAGGCUGGUUUUCCAGGCAAAUCCGGAAAAUCAAGGCUGAGGCGUGAUGACGAGGCACUACGGUGCU